RNAcentral lists this unclassified non-coding RNA (299 nucleotides) under plant metagenome. RNAcentral's name for it is "partial contains 5.8S ribosomal RNA, internal transcribed spacer 2, and large subunit ribosomal RNA". The stretch from base 1 to 105 matches the Rfam family "5.8S ribosomal RNA", at positions 50 to 154 of the family's 154-position model. The record is from RNAcentral.
GAAAUGCGAUAAGUAAUGUGAAUUGCAGAAUUCAGUGAAUCAUCGAAUCUUUGAACGCACAUUGCGCCCCCUGGUAUUCCGGGGGGCAUGCCUGUUCGAGCGUCAUUUCACAACUCAAGCCUCGCUUGGUAUUGGGCGACGCGGUCCGCCGCGCGCCUCAAAUCGACCGGCUGGGUCUUUCGUCCCCUCAGCGUUGUGGAAACUAUUCGCUAAAGGGUGCCGCGGGAGGCCACGCCGUAAAACAACCCCAUUUCUAAGGUUGACCUCGGAUCAGGUAGGGAUACCCGCUGAACUUAAGC